Lutra lutra (Eurasian river otter) is the source of this 181-nucleotide long non-coding RNA. RefSeq lists it as uncharacterized. The transcript has 4 exons. The record is from RefSeq and is a predicted model, not a curated record. NCBI's taxonomy places the organism in Eukaryota, Metazoa, Chordata, Mammalia, Carnivora, Mustelidae.
CUUGCCUGCAAGAAGUAACUAACGUGACUAACAUUUGACCUUCAUCGGUCCUUCUGUUGGCUAUUGUUUCUAUCCAAUAAAAGUGAGACUGUGGAGUUGCUCGUGGCAGCAGUCCUUUUCGAUUGUUGUCCCUUGCUCCCAAUCUCUUGCAGCUGACUUGUUUGUGCCUAAUUCUUCUACC